Molecule: ribosomal RNA, 492 nt
Filed under: uncultured bacterium
Lineage: Bacteria
Description: partial 16S ribosomal RNA
Rfam family: Bacterial small subunit ribosomal RNA
Source: RNAcentral
AGUGAACGCUGGCGGUAGGCCUAACACAUGCAAGUCGAACGGCAGCACAGUAAGAGCUUGCUCUUACGGGUGGCGAGUGGCGGACGGGUGAGGAAUACAUCGGAAUCUACUUUUUCGUGGGGGAUAACGUAGGGAAACUUACGCUAAUACCGCAUACGACCUACGGGUGAAAGCAGGGGAUCUUCGGACCUUGCGCGAUUGAAUGAGCCGAUGUCGGAUUAGCUAGUUGGCGGGGUAAAGGCCCACCAAGGCGACGAUCCGUAGCUGGUCUGAGAGGAUGAACAGCCCCAACUGAACAGAAAAAACGUGCCGAAUACGAACGGAAGCAGCAGUGGGGAAUAAUGGACAAUGGGCGGAAAGCCGAUCCCGCCAUACAGCAUGGGGGAAAGAGGCAUUUGGGUUGUUAAGGCCUUUUUCUGGGGAAAAAAACGAGGAAGUUAAAACCCCGCUGUUCCGACCGUUCCCAAAGAAUAAGCACCGGCUAACUUCGUG